Long non-coding RNA from Neofelis nebulosa (Clouded leopard), 6098 nucleotides. RefSeq lists it as uncharacterized. The record is from RefSeq and is a predicted model, not a curated record. The transcript has 7 exons. NCBI's taxonomy places the organism in Eukaryota, Metazoa, Chordata, Mammalia, Carnivora, Felidae.
GCAUGUUCCACCCAGGUGCCCCAUUCUCAGAUAUUUGGAUGUAAAUCUUUUUUGGCAAAUCAAACUUGUAUUUCACAGCUAUUCUCUCUUUAAAAUGGGGGUGGUGAGUAUCUUGUGAAGAGAGUCAUCAGUCUUGUGAAGUUGUUGGGGCCGGGGUGGGUGUGAAGUGGGAUGGAUUUCACAUAUAGGACCCAGAAAGCAAAAGCAAUUCAGUAAUGUUCUUCGACAUUUGAAAUAAGCUGGACUCCACCUUUCUCCAUUGUUUCCAGUUCCCUGAAGGGCCUUUCAAGAAAAGAGGGGCUCACACUGUAGCAGGAGGGUGGAUAUUCAGAAGCUCAAGGAGGCUGUGGGUCCUGGAAGGUCUCUGAAGCUGGCUCCAGGGUCUCCUCACUAGUGAGUCAUGUGUCCCUGCAACUUGAAGACAGCCUGCCCUCUCAAAGACUCUGAUGGAGAAGUUAAGUGACCUCAGGGACUCCAUAUGCCAAAGUGAGAAGGAGAGGCAAAGGGAACGUUGCUAAGAAUACAGUAGGAAAUGUCCCAGGAGGCAUUUGGGGUUUCUUGGCCAGAAUAAGGUUAAGGUCAUGAGAGAGUAGAAUCUUUGGGUUGAAAGCAAUAGUAUAUGGGGGCAGGGGGGAGCAGGGACAGGGCACCCUAGAAGACAAGUUCUGAAUCCAGGGUAUCAGGAGCACUUGGGAGCUUUUGUAAAACACAAACUCCUGCCCCCAUCCCCACUUCCACAGAAAGAUAGGUUAGACUCUCCAGAGGCAGGGAAAUGCUGCAGGGUUUCAAAGGUGGGGGUGAAGAGACGGGGCAACGGGGGAAAAAGACUAGGCCUGGGCCUUAGUCAACAGAGAGAAGGAGUCUGGGUGCAGCUCUUUUAAGAGCAUAUGUAACUGAUAAAUCCUAUGUCGGGCUGGUCCUAGAGUUUUAAGUCCUCUCCUAUUCUAAAGGUCAGGAAAUUCUGGUCCUAAUGUCAGUGCUGUCAUCUAGUGGCUCUGUGAUCUUAAGCAAAUCACUUCACCUUUCUGAGUCUCAGUUGCUUCUGUUGUAAAAUUAAGGAAUGGUUGCUAAGGUCUCUUUCCAGCUCUGAAAGUAUAAGUCAAUGGUGCUAAAGAUUGUUAUGGCUUCUCCAUCAUGAGCUGGUGUAUCACAUUCAGAAGACCAGAGCCUAGGUGCUCUUCCUUUCUUUGUGGACUGUUGGGAUUCAGCUGACCUGGGGCCAGCUAGUCUGUCUGCCAGCUUCCAGGCCAGAGCCAUGCCUAAUUACUUGAUAGAGCUUUCCCCAAAGUGGAGCACUGCUUCUGUGUGAAUAGAAUUAAUUAAAUUAGAAAAUAUAAAAUAAGGGUUCCAUGGCCCAAUGAAUUUGAGUAUCUGGGUUAAACACAUUUAACAUUUUCUUUUUUCUCAGGACUUCUCAGAGCAUCAACAAACCAAUAUGCAUUUUGAAUCUCUUAAAGGGGGAAUAAAUGGAAUUUCCCAAACAAAUUUGAUCGUGGGAUCCACUUUUCUAAGGAGCAACCCUUAAAAACAGCAACAACUCCAAGUUAGAUGGUCCUUACUCACUUUUUCCCCAAAUUCUUGACCUUCAAGAUGGGAAGGAGUGUUUCCACUCUUCCUCCUCUGGAAUCCCAAAGGCAGUCAGUCUUUUGUCACAGUCUCCCUAGCGCAGCCUUGCAGGCAGUGCCAAUGAUUUUUGCUAAUUGCUAUUGAAUUCCCAUUGAAUUGACACCCCUCACAGUUCCCCAUGUCAAUCCCCCAUGCCUCCCUGCAGCAGAUGCUCACAGAUUGCCCCCUUUACCUCAAUAUCUGAGAGGUAGAGACAGACAAGUCAACAUGGGCUCCUCUGAGCCCAGAGCUUCCUCUUGGUGGCUUGGUCUGAGGAUCACUGUGGCUGGAUUGACAGGUAGUAGCUGUUGAUUCUCUGGUUUGGGGUUAAUUUUCUAUAAGAGACAGGAAGAAAGCUGCUGGAGUCCUUCACCUUAGGAAUAUAUACGUCCUGGGAUGGAAAGGCAUGGGGAGCGGAGCGACAGACGGAGAGAGGCUUGAGGACACAAAGGAGGAAACAUGCCAUUGCCAAGACCCCAAGGAAGAAGGACAGAGAGCGCUGGCAGUCCUGUCUGGCCCCCAGCCAGUUUCCUGCUGAAGAUGGCCAAAUCCUCUUGCCUGGUCUGUGCUGCUCAUCUGGGUCCUGUAGCGCCGCUGCCCCAUUCCAUCUGGAACCCCGACCCCACUUCCUGUUCCUCCACUGCUUCCCCCAGCCCCAGGAGACUCUGGUUCGGCCAGACUGGAAGCAGAUGAAUCGCUGAGAUCCCCUGCAGAUGGACUGCAAGCCUCGCUCUCUGGGGUGCUUCGAAACUGGCCUUUCCUCUCCCGGGCCCUGGUGUUCUGGAACCAGACCUGCACCACCCGCUUUUUGAGUCCCACCUCCUCGGAGAUGCAGUCAAGCAUCUUGCGCGUUGGGUUGGAGUCUUGCAUGUACCAACGGUACAGGAUCUCCAGCUGCUCGGGCAGGAUAGUGGCUUUCCCUUCCCAUGGAAGCUAACAUGCUCCGGGGGGUUACUUUCUUCAGAGAUUUCUCACCACCUGAUAUUUCCUGGUUUACUUACUUCUCCCUUCUAGACGAUGAGGCAGCCAAGAAACAGGUUGAGUGAGCUGCUAACUGUCACACAACUCCAAGGAGGGGAAACCAGAGGACUGGCGGGGCACAGAGACCUGGGCCCUCCAUCUACCUGGAUCGUCCCUCAGACCCAGGAAAGGCCAAAUGAGCCUCCAGAGGUCUAGCAGUCAGGAUUCCGGGGCUCCCUCCAGCUACUAGAAACACCAGGCCUCCCACGCUGCUCCCAGCCUUUUUACCUUGAUUACCACACCUUCCUCCCCCUCCGCACCCCCCCCCCCCGCCCCGCUUCCCGUCCCCACCAAACUCACCAGUUCCCCAUGCUUCACCAUCCCAUACUUUUCCCAAUGUCCCAAGUGGCUUGCAUCCACUCCAGGUCUUAAUUAUCAGCCAAUCUCUAAUGAUUAAACCUUUAGCGUUCAAGCCCAUGCUUCCAGAAGGGAUGUGGUCUCUCCUUCCUUCCUUGGGCCACCUCUAACGCUCACCUUCAGAUUCUUUGAUUAGGAAUGGGUCUUCGGCCUGGCCCCACCCAGCCUGCAGGCCCCCUUUCCCACUUCCCCCCCUCCUCCUAGGGGGCUAGCCAGGCGUGAAGUCAGAGCCAUUAAGUAGCUCCGCGUGGGGCUGGAUCAGCAUGCUAAUGAAAAUGCAAAUCAGCACCUGGGCAAGGGGUGGAGGGCUGGGGGGUGGGGGGAGGUAGCUGGAGAACCGGGAGGGAAGUAAAGGUAUUAGAUGGAGGGGUUAUCCUAGAUAACCAGAAAGCAGAAGCCCGAAACUGGGAGAAAGGUGUCUCUCCUACGGAAUCCUUGGGGGUAGGGGGUAAAUGCGCUGGCUCACGAGGGUCUGACAGUCCACUGUUACCCCUCACAGUGGGGGCCCACCACCCUUUCGCUGCCCCACCUGGUGGGAAGAAGUGAGGCUGGGCAAGCCGGGCUUCUCCCGGGCCCUGCCACCGAGGGCUGACCCGGGUGGUGCUUCAUCCCCGCUGGGCCACCGCGCCUACAUCACAUCGAUCAGCUGCUUCCUCCUGGCUCCUGAUUCACAACUCCAGAUCUAACUUCAGAGGAGGUGCUAGAACGACCUAAGCCCCAAAUCCUCUCUCCAAAGCUUCUACUUCCCAGGACUGGAAAAAAACCCAGCUGAUUCUUAGUUAGAAACCAAAGGAGUUUAGCUCUGGGCUAGCUCGUGGGUGAGACCCAGACCGCCAAGGGUAGGUCGGCAGCUGUUUAAAAUUGCAAAUCUCUUCCCCACCUCCCUCCUCCUCCUCCUCUACAGGAAAGAAUUUCAAUUGCAAAUUUAUCUCUGCCUCAGUGCACCCCCCAGCUCCCCCCCUUUUCUUCUCCACGCUUCUCCCAUCACCCUCUAUUUAUUACAAACCUUUAACUGCAGCAAUGAUAUUUUUUUCACUUUUUCUUUCCUCCUUCCAUUUCCCUCCUCCUCAAUCUUUUCCUCCUUCCCUCUCUGAAUCUCUGUGUCCCUCUCUUUGCCCUUCCUACCUUGAACUCAGUUUUCAGCUCUUUCUGGAGAUGAUGCAGAGCCGGAUGACAGACCAAGUCACCCUCCACCUACCACCUCCAGGCCAAGAGUCAUGUUCACCCUCAGACCACUGCCAUUCCUCCUGUAGUUCCGGGCUUUCCUUAAGGGUGUCUCCUCUCCCUUGGGGCACAUCUCAGAGAGCCGGGUCCAUGGUUAUUGCUCAGGAUGAGAAGAGAAGGCUGGAAGUGCUACUUUCAAAGCUCAGCUAGGGAGGAGUUGCCCCCCAAACAUAAUCACUGAACUGCAAACAUUGUUCCAUGGGAGGUGUGCAGAAAUGCACCCAGUAAAUAGCUGGACAAGAAUUCCUCCUUCUUGAUAAAUGCUCCCUAUUCGGGGGGCAGAUCCACCGUGCUUAAAACAGGAAGAAGCCGGGGAGCUGGGAGGCUCCAAGACGGACAGUAGACCCAGAAAGCUACCGAGAGAGAGAAAGAUGUUAAGAGAUGGACUGAAAGGGUUGGAUAUGAAGUUACGGACAUCUGAAAAGGUGGGCUCUGAGACCGCACAAGGCAGGGAGAACACAGUGAGGCACAAGAGCCAAAGGAGCAAGGGCAAAGGAAGGACCGAAGAAACGCGGCCCGAGGACAGAGAGACUCUAUCCCUCCCCGAGGAGGAACUAGGGCACGGGUGCAGCAAAUGGAGGCAAAGCCAGCGACGGGAGCUCCCGUCUGGAGCCCGGCAAGACCAGGGCUACCCUUGGAUGGCGCCCCCUUCCGCCCCAAGCAGGCCACCGAGAGGAGAAGAAACACUACUGCUCCCUAGUGGUUAUGGAAGGAACAUCACCAAGGAGAAAACAUGCCAGUCCAGGCAAACAGAUUGCCUUUCUCUUCCCCCUCCUCUCCUUAAACCAGAAUCCCACUUAAAGCAAAAUCCCACUCCCUUCUUUUCUCCAGACGCAAGGACAUGGCAAAGAGUUUCCCAGAAAGUCUACCAGAUGCCACCAGCAUAUUUGCUUAAAAUUUGCAUACAAUGAUUUCCACAUCAGAGCCUUCCAAACAGUUUUGCCUUUCACUUUUCCAACUGUUGGAUCUAUCCCCUCUCCCUUACUGAAGAGUCCAUUUUUAGGACCUUUCCUCUUCUUCCUCUGUCUGAAAUUCUUGCCUAGGGCACUGCCCUCUUCCACACUCAUUUUGCCUCUUGCCCCUUUUUGUCUCAACCUGUUGCUUUUAAGAGGCAGAAGCCUUGGAGAAGAGGGGAAAAGAAAAAGGAAAUAUAGAGUGCCCUGCCUAACAGGGAUUGUUUGGUAUAGACAAUAAACUCUAACUUGAUGAGCUUGAUUUUUAAAGCAGUGUAAGAACAUGGGCUAUGGAUUCAUGCAGCCCCAGGUUCAGUGCUGGGCUGCUUCCCCCACUCACCAGCUAUGCAACCUUGGUAAGUUACUUGCAACCUGGGAAAAUGGGAAGAAUGAUCCCUUCCUUUCUGGCCUUCUGGGUGAUCAGUCAGGCUGGUUCUUUUCCUUCUGUCUUGGCUAGCUCCUCCCACAGAGCAGAGUGAGGUGUUCCCAGGUGGGUGACAACUUUCCUUCUGCUUGGCUCCUUCUUGACCAGGACUCAUCCUCUAAUUUCUGCCCUUUUCAAAAACGGAGGGGAGAGUCUUCAGUGGCCAGGAUUUAAAGCUAAGUCUGCCCAGCAGCAGAGUUCAUUUCUCACUUGGCCCUCUCGAUUGCCAGGCCUCAAGACACCCCAUCAUCUGAGAGCAGAGAAUGGAAGCCUUGUCCAAGCUCACAGUUGGACCGGGUGCAAAAGCAGUUAAUACCUGGAUCAAAACUAUAUGGCCACUCCCUUCAUUUAAAACUAUCAUUUUCUCAGGGCGCCUGGAUGGUUCAGUCGAUUAAAUGUCCAACUCUUGAGUUUGUGGGUUCCUUGCUGACAGUGUGAUGCCUGCUUGGGAUUCUCUCUAUCUGCUCCCUCCCCUGCUCUCUCUCGCUCUCUCAAAAUAAACAAAUAAACUAUCA